AUGCUAUGUUGCUAUUUAGACUAUGGAUUACUUCAAUGUGAGAUAUGUGAUGCAAAAUUAUGUCAUGAUCUAUGUUUGGUUUGUUCGUAUGAUGCAUUUUGGGUCCUAAUGGAAGUGUAUCUGCCUGGCUGUAUUGUUUUUGCAAGUAACUGUAUGUUCAGUGUUGUUUGCAUUGAAUUUGAUCCUCAUGUUGCUCUUCUUUGUGUGGAUAACCUGUCCAAAUAUCAACUGUUGUAUCCAGUUUUACUCUUGCCUAGGCGCCAGUUGCAUUAUGCCAUCAAUGUCCAAGGCAAGACAUACUGA
Molecule: ribosomal RNA, 303 nt
Filed under: Triticum aestivum (bread wheat)
Lineage: Eukaryota; Viridiplantae; Streptophyta; Magnoliopsida; Poales; Poaceae
Description: partial small subunit ribosomal RNA
Source: RNAcentral